GGGUGGGGGCCCGCGCCCUGCGCGGCUCGCAAACGAACCCCGGCGCGAGAAGCGCCAAGGAAAUUGAGUACUAGGAGCGCGCCCCCUAAGCCUCGGCGUCGGGGGCGCGCCUUCUUCUGGUGAUAAUCUAAACGACUCUCGGCAACGGAUAUCUCGGCUCUCGCAUCGAUGAAGAACGUAGCGAAAUGCGAUACUUGGUGUGAAUUGCAGAAUCCCGUGAACCAUCGAGUCUUUGAACGCAAGUUGCGCCCGAGGCCUCCUGGUCGAGGGCACGUCUGCCUGGGUGUCACGCAUCGUCGCCCCCUCUCCCCUCGGCUCACGAGGGCGGGGGCGGAUACUGGUCUCCCGCGCGCUCCCGCUCGCGGCUGGCCCAAAAUCGAGUCCCCGGCGACGGUCGCCACGACGAGCGGUGGUUGAGAGACCCUCGGACACUGUCGUGCGCGCGUCCGUCGCCCCCGGGAUCUCCUGGACCCUCGGGCAUCGACCUUCUAGGAUGCUCUCGUUGCGACCCCAGGUCAGGCGGGACUACCCGCUGAG
This 537-nucleotide ribosomal RNA is filed under the name embryophyte environmental sample. RNAcentral's name for it is "eukaryotic LSU rRNA". The stretch from base 134 to 289 matches the Rfam family "5.8S ribosomal RNA". Lineage: Eukaryota; Viridiplantae; Streptophyta. The record is from RNAcentral.